RNAcentral lists this ribosomal RNA (434 nucleotides) under uncultured bacterium. Its description in RNAcentral is "partial 16S ribosomal RNA". It matches the Rfam family "Bacterial small subunit ribosomal RNA", at positions 29 to 507 of the family's 1533-position model. The record is from RNAcentral.
AGCGAACGCUGGCGGCAGGCCUAACACAUGCAAGUCGAACGAACCUUUCGGGGUUAGUGGCGGACGGGUGAGUAACACGUGGGAACGUGCCUUUAGGUUCGGAAUAACUCAGGGAAACUUGUGCUAAUACCGAAUGUGCCCUUCGGGGGAAAGAUUAAUCGCCUUUAGAGCGGCCGGCGUCUGAUUAGCUAGUUGGUUGAGGUAAUGGCUCACCAGGGCGACGAUCAGUAGCUGGUCUGAGAGGAUGAUCAGCGACAUUGGGACUGGGACACGGCCCAAACUCCUACGGGAGGCAGCAGUGGGGAAUCUUGCGCAAUGGGCGAAAGCCUGACGCAGCCAUGCCGCGUGAAUGAUGAAGGUCUUAGGAUUGUAAAAUUCUUUCACCGGGGACGAUAAUGACGGUACCCGGAGAAGAAGCCCCGGCUAACUUCGUG